Molecule: ribosomal RNA, 253 nt
Filed under: uncultured bacterium
Lineage: Bacteria
Description: partial 16S ribosomal RNA
Rfam family: Bacterial small subunit ribosomal RNA
Source: RNAcentral
UACGGAGGGUGCAAGCGUUAUCCGGAUUCACUGGGUUUAAAGGGUGCGUAGGCGGGCAGGUAAGUCGGGUGUGAAAUCUCGGAGCUUAACUCCGAAACUGCAUUCGAUACUGCCGUGCUUGAGGACUGGAGAGGAGACUGGAAUUUACGGUGUAGCGGUGAAAUGCGUAGAUAUCGUAAGGAAGACCAGUGGCGAAGGCGGGUCUCUGGACAGUUCCUGACGCUGAGGCACGAAGGUCAGGGGAGCAAACGGG